Molecule: transfer RNA, 56 nt
Filed under: Dipodomys ordii (Ord's kangaroo rat)
Lineage: Eukaryota; Metazoa; Chordata; Mammalia; Rodentia; Heteromyidae
Rfam family: tRNA
About the family: Transfer RNA (tRNA) molecules are approximately 80 nucleotides in length. Their secondary structure includes four short double-helical elements and three loops (D, anti-codon, and T loops).
Source: Rfam by way of RNAcentral
GGGAAGGUGGCUCAGUGGUAGAGCACUUGCCUUGCAUGCAUGAGGCCCUGGGUUCA